AACAUGUGGGAAUUAUGGAGCUACAAUUAAAGAUGAGAUUUGGGUGGCAACACAGCCAAACCAUAUCAUUCUGAUGUUGUGUUCUUUAAGAUUGCUUAUGUUCAACAAGGAACACCAGGACUGAGCUAUCUUUGUCUCUCCCAAACCAACCAAGGCUGCAUUAACCUUUCCUGAAAAUAAAAAACAGUUCUGCUUUUACCAUUUGGGGGCCUGAGGCAAGUGUUCAAAUAGAAACCCUCCUGCCAGUCUAUUAAAUGAAGCUACUAAACUAUUAAAUGGAAUAUGUCUGCUCCUCUCACCUUCCUCUCUGCUCAACAGUAUGCCUCUUAACCGCCUGGAGGCUGGGUCUACUUUCUGCCUUUCCUGCCACAAGACCUUGUCUUGUGCCCAGAGGGCCUCAGGCACGUGCGUGUGGACACCACAUUCCCAUCCACUAGAAUGGCAAACGUUACAAAGACUGUUUAAAGUGUUGUCAAGGACGUGAAGCAAUUGAAACCCUCAGACACUGCCGGUGGGGAUGCAAAAUGGCACAGUCGCUUUGGAAAACAGUAUGGCAAUUUCUAAUGAGGUCCCACAUGCAGCUACCAUGUGAUCCAGCAAUCCCACUCCUAGGCAUGUACCCAGGAGAAACACAAACUUAUGGACACAAAAACUUGUACGUGAAUGUAUAUGGCAGCUUUCAUCAUCAUAACUGGAUACAGUUGAAACUGGAUACAGCCUAAAUGUGCCUCACCUGAGGAACAGAUGAGCAUCCUGUGGUAUAUCCACGCAAGGCAGCACCACUCACUCAGCAAUAAAAAAAGAGCAAACUACUGACCCAUGGAACAACACGAGGGCGUCUCCAAUGCUUUGUGCUAAGCAAAAGAAGCCAGAUCCCAAAGCUAUACUGUAUGCUGUUUAAUUCCAUUUAUAUGACAUUUUGGAAAUGGCGGAACUAUAGGAGAAGAGAGCGGGUUAGUGGUUAGCAGCAGUAAAGGGCAGAGGAGGGAAUAUUUUGGGUGAUAAAACUGCUCCAUCUCCACUGUGGUGGUGGGUUCAUCAGUGUGCACUUGUUAAAACACCACAAAGAAUGAAUUUUACUGUAUGUUAAUUAAAUAUACUAAAAAAUAUCAGAUUGCUCUUUGGAUAAAAUCCAAAAUCAGCUGCUUGGCUGCCCCGGGUGCUCACCAGUGACUCGGCCUGCCAGACUCACCUGCAUUUCUUUCUCUUCCUCUCCAGCCACUCCAGGCCUCAGGGCCUUUGCACAUGCUGCUUGGCCUACCUGGCUGACCUCUGCUACCCUCCAUUCUACAGUAUGGGCCCACUUCCAGCCAUUCUAUACACAACUUGGUGUUCUCAGAUCAGCACCUGCCAAGCCAGGUCAGAGCAACCUCCUAUUGCUCCCUUAGCCUCUGUGUUUCUCCUCUGUGUCCUGAUUACACAGGUGAUGAACUCUUGAAUGCUGGACUCCCUCUAGAGCCUAAGCGCCAUGAGGACAGGGAUGGCAUUUUUCUUUCCCACCACCGAACCUGGCUUCCAGGGUGCCUUGCACAAACUCCAUGCUCAGUCAAUGUUUGCCAAAGGGAUGGACUGAUGACUCCAUCACUUUAUAGAUAAAGGUCCUCCAAGGCCUGUCGACAGAGCCAGGAUGAUCCCCCCAUCUCCAGGCCCGCUUCCCAUGGGCUUUUCCUCUUGCACAGCUGCCUUUCCAAGGAAGGGGCAUGGAAUGAGAGUCCUGCCUGAUCAGAAGGGGCUACAGCCCUUAGGAGCUAGAGGAAAAAAGGAUGGAGACUUCAACCGUUUCAAGAGCUUCCCCACACAGAGCUGAGCACCAGAGUCUGGACUUCAAGAAGUUCAAACAAAGGAAUUCCAGAAGUGCAUAAUUGCAGGCUUGGACUCCACAUGAAAAAGAACAGAGGCAGGGUGGAAUUCAGAUUCACAGGAGGGAAAAUGGAGCUCCAGAGACAUUAACAGACUAUUGACAGAGCUCCUAUGGGGAAACCUUGGUGUCCACAUACCCAGCACUGUGGAAGCAUGCAGCUGUGGGUUCACACCAAUCUGCCUUUCCCUAAGCUGAGCCAGGGACCCACGUGGCUCAUUUGGCCCAGGAAGAGAAUCCAGGUGAGGCCACAGAACAAAGCAAAAUUAACCAGCCUCAAAAUUACAUCACCAACCCAGGGUUCUAGCAAUCGAGAUAAGCAAAUGACCACAUUCAGGCAAAACCCAUACCAAAUGAGUGGCAAAUCCCCACUUAACAGAUGAGGACACUGAGACUUAGGCAAAGUGACUUGCUCAGGGUCACACUGCUGGUCGGUAGCUGAGCCAGGCUGGAACCAGGUCUCCUGGGUUCACUUCAGCAUAGCCUUGUCUACCGCGGGUACCAGGAUCUGCCUGGUGUGGCUACAGCUGCUGACCACCAGCAUGGCCAACAAGCCACCCUUUGUAAUAAGCCACCCCAAAACUCAGUGGCUCCCAAUGACAAUUAGUUAUUUCUUGUGGUCAUAGGGCUUGACAGGGCUUAGCUGGGCAGCUCUCACUUUAAGCAUCUCACUGCAGUUGCAGUCCAGUGGGGCUACCUAAAGGCUUGACUGGGCUGGACGUCCAGUGUGGUGCCUCCACGUGGCUGCCAGUUGACUUUGGCUGUCACCUGAGAGCUCCACUGGGGCCAUCAUGUGACCUCUCCACGUGGCAUAGGCCUCUCACAGCAUGGUAGAUGUGCACUGAGAGGAAAUGCCACCAGAAGUCAGUGUUCUAAGAAGCAGGAAGUGGAAAUGGCCAGAUCAGGUAAGGGCUAUGCCAGGGACGGCCGGGCAUCCUCUCUGCUGCAUGCGAGUGGUUAAAACAGCCCCAGGACCAGCCCAGGGCCAGGUAAGAGGAAAUACAUUCCACCCCUUCACUGGGUGAGGGAGAAAGCCAACUUCCAAAGAACCUACGUGAUGAACAAUGAUGGACAAUAGUGUUGUGGCUGUCUCUGGGAAAAUACAAUCUACCACCAUAGCCAUGGCAACCAGACCAGGCAAUCCCUGUGACUGGACCCUUAGGAGAAAGCGUAGAGCUCCUACCAACUGUCCUAGAAAGGACAAGCCAGGCCCACGUGCCAGCCAGGCUGGGAGCAGCUGCUGUGGCGAGUGGAAAAGCCGUACUCUGGGAGCAGGAGACGCCCCUAGAGGCCUGACCCUGCCCAACGCUUGCUCUCUUGGGGCCUCAGAUCCUCGUCUGAAAUAGGGGACCAGACCACACAGAGACCCCUCUGGGGACAUUCGGUGUUUCUGCUGAGUCAAUGGACUAAUUGCUCAUGCAGACACAGCCACCAGCCCAUCACACAGUGGGUCAGCAGUAUCUUCCAAGCCACUGAUUUGAGUGGAUAUUGAAGGAGGCUGUGAAGCUCUCAGUAAAACUGACGUCCCAGUCAAAGGCCUGACCUCGAAGCCCAGGGCAUGUGUGAGUGGAGGCUCUCCACAUCUGCUGCAGAAAGGGGGAGAAGGGAGAGGUGAGUAAGGGUUGGGGGUUCUGGGGAAGCAGAUCUCAGGCCGGGCAGUUCUGGCUAACAUGCAGAGCAGGAGAGCAGUGGGGCUGCAUGUGAAGUGUUAAUGAUUUCCUCAACUGCCAUGGGGGAAGCAGAGGGGCCGGAGCCCAGGCCUCAGCAGAUAAGUGGCUUGGCGUGGUGUUAAGUCCUGUAUUUAACAGCUUGAUUAAUGGGCCGGAGGAGAGUGACUCAGCUAAUGAAAUGUGCAGGUGGCUGCUGGCGGGUCGGGGACGCUCAUGCAACAACGGACAUGGAGACCUCAAACAACAGGUAUGCAGGAAUGCCCUGCACAGACGGUACUCUCCAGUGUGAAGAUGAUAAAGCCAGCCUCUGGAUUUUGUGUGUGUGUGUGUUUUAUUUUUUAAAAAUUAUUUUACUUUUUCAUAAGUUAUUGGAAUACAGUUGGUGUUUGGUUACAUGAGUACGUUCUUUAGCAGUGAUUUGUGAGAUCUUGGUGCACCCAUCACCCGAGCAGCGUACACUGCACCAUAUGUUGUCUUUUAUCGCUUGCCCCCUUCUCACCCUUCCCCCCAAGUCCCCAAAGUCCAUUGUAUCAUUCUUAUGCCUUGUGUCCUCAUAGCUUAGCUCCCACAUAUCAAUGAGAACAUACGAUGUUUGGUUUUCUAUUCUUGAGUUACUUCCCUUAGAACAAUAGUCUCGAGUCUCAUCCUGGUCAUUUCAAAUGCUGUUAAUUCAUUCCUUUUUAUGGCUGAGUAGUAUUCCACUGUAUAUAUAUACCACAGUUUCUUUAUUCACUCGUUGAUUGAUGGCAUUUGGGGUGGUUCCACGAUUUUGCCAUUGUGAAUUGUGCUGCUGUAAACAUGCAUGUGUAUCUUUUUCAAAUAAUGACUUCUUUUCCUCUGGGUAGAUACCCGGUAGUGGGAUUGCUGGAUCAAAUGAUAGAUUUACUUUUAGUUCUUUAAGGAAUCUCCACGCUGUUUUCCAUAGCGGCUGUACUAGUGCGUUCAUUCAGGAAGGUUUUAAUGAGCACUUAGGAUGGGCUGUGCUUCCCAGGAGAU
Long non-coding RNA from Gorilla gorilla gorilla (western lowland gorilla), 4524 nucleotides. RefSeq lists it as uncharacterized. Lineage: Eukaryota; Metazoa; Chordata; Mammalia; Primates; Hominidae. The record is from RefSeq and is a predicted model, not a curated record. The transcript has 2 exons.